AAAUUGAAGAGUUUGAUCAUGGCUCAGAUUGAACGCUGGCGGCAGGCCUAACACAUGCAAGUCGAACGGUAACAGGAAGAAGCUUGCUUCUUUGCUGACGAGUGGCGGACGGGUGAGUAAUGUCUGGGAAACUGCCUGAUGGAGGGGGAUAACUACUGGAAACGGUAGCUAAUACCGCAUAACGUCGCAAGACCAAAGAGGGGGACCUUCGGGCCUCUUGCCAUCGGAUGUGCCCAGAUGGGAUUAGCUAGUAGGUGGGGUAACGGCUCACCUAGGCGACGAUCCCUAGCUGGUCUGAGAGGAUGACCAGCCACACUGGAACUGAGACACGGUCCAGACUCCUACGGGAGGCAGCAGUGGGGAAUAUUGCACAAUGGGCGCAAGCCUGAUGCAGCCAUGCCGCGUGUAUGAA
RNAcentral lists this ribosomal RNA (412 nucleotides) under Escherichia coli. RNAcentral's name for it is "bacterial SSU rRNA". It matches the Rfam family "Bacterial small subunit ribosomal RNA", at positions 1 to 409 of the family's 1533-position model. The record is from RNAcentral. Lineage: Bacteria; Pseudomonadati; Pseudomonadota; Gammaproteobacteria; Enterobacterales; Enterobacteriaceae.